RNAcentral lists this ribosomal RNA (413 nucleotides) under Megalothorax sp. EA040005-cs3. Its description in RNAcentral is "partial 16S ribosomal RNA". Lineage: Eukaryota; Metazoa; Arthropoda; Collembola; Neelipleona; Neelidae. The record is from RNAcentral.
UUCUUUUAUGAUAUAUUAAAAGUAAAGUCUGCCCACUGAAAAUUAAAGGGCCGCGGAAUUUAACUGUGCAAAGGUAGCAUAAUAAUUAGUUUUUUAAUUGAAAAAUGGAAUGAAUGAUUUAAUAUAAUUAAAUUUUUAUUUUUUAAAAAUUGAAUUUAGAUUUUUAGUUAAAAUACUAAUAAGUUUUAUUAAGACGAUAAGACCCUAUAGAUCUUUAUCUACUUUAAAAUCUUAAGUGGAUAAAUUUAGUUAAUUAAGAGAUUUAAUUGGGGUGAUUUAAUAAUAAUUUUAACUUCUUAAUUAAAUUAGAUCUUGAAUAUCGGAAGGAAAAAGAUACCUUAGGGUUAACAGCGUUAAUAAUUUUGAGAGAUCAUAUUGAUUAAGAGAAUUGCGACCUCGAUGUUGGAUUAAAA